GUGGCUCAGUGGUUAAGAGCACUGACUGCUCUUCCAGAGGUCCUGAGUUCAAGUCUCAGC
RNAcentral lists this transfer RNA (60 nucleotides) under Mus musculus (house mouse). It matches the Rfam family "tRNA", at positions 7 to 64 of the family's 71-position model. From Rfam's summary of the family: Transfer RNA (tRNA) molecules are approximately 80 nucleotides in length. RNAcentral also lists the same sequence under 1 other name. The record is from Rfam by way of RNAcentral. Lineage: Eukaryota; Metazoa; Chordata; Mammalia; Rodentia; Muridae.